GAUGAACGCUAGCGGCAGGCUUAACACAUGCAAGUCGAGGGGUAUAGUUCUUCGGAACUAGAGACCGGCGCACGGGUGCGUAACGCGUAUGCAAUCUACCUUUUACAGGGGAAUAGCCCAGAGAAAUUUGGAUUAAUGCCCCAUAGUAUAGUUUUUUCGCAUGAAGAGAUUAUUAAAGUUCCAACGGUAAAAGAUGAGCAUGCGUCCCAUUAGCUAGAUGGUAAGGUAACGGCUUACCAUGGCGACGAUGGGUAGGGGUCCUGAGAGGGAGAUCCCCCACACUGGUACUGAGACACGGACCAGACUCCUACGGGAGGCAGCAGUGAGGAAUAUUGGUCAAUGGACGCAAGUCUGAACCAGCCAUGCCGCGUGCAGGAUGACGGUCCUAUGGAUUGUAAACUGCUUUUGUACGAGAAGAAACAUCCCGACGUGUCGGGACUUGACGGUAUCGUAAGAAUAAGGAUCGGCUAACUCGGUGCCAGCAGCCGCGGUAAUACGGAGGAUCCAAGCGUUAUCCGGAAUCAUUGGGUUUAAAGGGUCCGUAGGCGGUCAGAUAAGUCAGUGGUGAAAGCCCAUCGCUCAACGGUGGAACGGCCAUUGAUACUGUUUGACUUGAAUUAUUAGGAAGUAACUAGAAUAUGUAGUGUAGCGGUGAAAUGCUUAGAGAUUACAUGGAAUACCAAUUGCGAAGGCAGGUUACUACUAAUGGAUUGACGCUGAUGGACGAAAGCGUGGGUAGCGAACAGGAUUAGAUACCCUGGUGGUCCACGCCGUAAACGAUGGAUACUAGCUGUUGGAAGCAAUUUCAGUGGCU
Molecule: ribosomal RNA, 814 nt
Filed under: uncultured bacterium
Lineage: Bacteria
Description: bacterial SSU rRNA
Rfam family: Bacterial small subunit ribosomal RNA
Source: RNAcentral